AUUGAACGCUGGCGGUAUGCUUAACACAUGCAAGUCGAACGGUAACAGGCCUUCGGGCGCUGACGAGUGGCGGACGGUGAGUAACGCGUAGGAAUCUGCCUCAUAGUGGGGACAACGUGGGAAACUCACGCUAAUACCGCAUACGCCUACGGGGAAAGCGGGGAGUCUUCGGACUCGCGCUAUGAGAUGAGCCUGCGUUAGAUUACCUAGUUGGUAGGGUAAAGGCCUACCAAGGCGACGAUCUAUAGCUGGUCUGAGAGGACGAUCAGCCACACUGGGACUGAGACACGGCCCAGACUCCUACGGGAGGCAGCAGUGGGGAAUAUUGGACAAUGGGCGCAAGCCUGAUCCAGCAAUACCGCGUGUGUGAAGAAGGCCUUAGGGUU
Molecule: ribosomal RNA, 386 nt
Filed under: uncultured bacterium
Lineage: Bacteria
Description: bacterial SSU rRNA
Rfam family: Bacterial small subunit ribosomal RNA
Source: RNAcentral